GAGUUUGAUCCUGGCUCAGAUUGAACGCUGGCGGAAUGCUUUACACAUGCAAGUCGAGCGGCAGCGCGGGGCAACCUGGCGGCGAGCGGCGAACGGGUGAGUAACAUAUCGGAACGUAUCCUGAAAUGGGGGAUAGCCCGGCGAAAGCCGGAUUAAUACCGCAUAUGAUCUCCGGAUGAGAAUCUGGGAAUGAAAGCAGGGGACCGCAAGGCCUUGCGUUUCUGGAGCGGCCGAUAUCUGAUUAGCUGGUUGGUGGGGUAAAGGCCUACCAAGGCGAUGAUCAGUAGCUGGUCUGAGAGGAUGAUCAGCCACACUGGGACUGAGACACGGCCCAGACUCCUACGGGAGGCAGCAGUGGGGAAUUUUGGACAAUGGGCGCAAGCCUGAUCCAGCCAUUCCGCGUGAGUGAAGAAGGCCUUCGGGUCGUAAAGCUCUUUCAGCCGGAAAGAAAUGGUUACGGUGAAUAGCCGUGACUACUGACGGUACCGGAAGAAGAAGCACCGGCUAACUACGUGCCAGCAGCCGCGGUAAUACGUAGGGUGCGAGCGUUAAUCGGAAUUACUGGGCGUAAAGCGUGCGCAGGCGGUUUGUUAAGACAGGUGUGAAAUCCCCGGGCUCAACCUGGGAAUGGCGCUUGUAACUGGCAAGCUAGAGUGCGUCAGAGGGAGGUAGAAUUCCACGUGUAGCAGUGAAAUGCGUAGAGAUGUGGAGGAAUACCGAUGGCGAAG
This 728-nucleotide ribosomal RNA is filed under the name uncultured bacterium. RNAcentral describes it as "bacterial SSU rRNA". It matches the Rfam family "Bacterial small subunit ribosomal RNA", at positions 9 to 720 of the family's 1533-position model. The record is from RNAcentral.